RNAcentral lists this unclassified non-coding RNA (305 nucleotides) under plant metagenome. RNAcentral describes it as "partial contains 5.8S ribosomal RNA, internal transcribed spacer 2, and large subunit ribosomal RNA". The stretch from base 1 to 105 matches the Rfam family "5.8S ribosomal RNA", at positions 50 to 154 of the family's 154-position model. The record is from RNAcentral.
GAAAUGCGAUAAGUAAUGUGAAUUGCAGAAUUCAGUGAAUCAUCGAAUCUUUGAACGCACAUUGCGCCCGCCAGUACUCUGGCGGGCAUGCCCGUUCGAGCGUCAUUUCAACCAUCAAGCCCCCGGCUUGUGUUGGGGACCUGCGGCUGCCCGCAGGCCCUGAAAAACAGUGGCGGGCUCGCUGUCACACCGAGCGUAGUAGCAUACAUUCUCGCUCAGGGCGUGCUGCGGGUUCCGGCCGUUAAACGACCUUCAUAACCCAAGGUUGACCUCGGAUCAGGUAGGAAGACCCGCUGAACUUAAGC